AUUGAACGCUGGCGGCAGGCCUAACACAUGCAAGUCGAACGAGUGGCGGACGGGUGAGUAAUGUCUGGGAAAAUGCCCGAUGGAGGGGGAUAACUACUGGAAACGGUAGAUAAUACCGCAUACCAUCGGAUGUGCCCAGAUGGGAGUAGCGAGUUGGUGGGGUAAAGGCGCACCGAGGCGCCGAUCCCUAGCGGGUCUGAGAGGAUGACCAGCCACACUGGAACUGAGACACGGUCCAGACUCCUACGGGAGGCAGCAGUGGGGAAUAUUGCACAAUGGGCGCAAGCCUGAUGCAGCCAUGCCGCGUGUAUGAAGAAGGUCUUCGGGUUGUAAAGUACUUUCAGCGGGGAGGCGUUACCCGAAGAAGAAGCACCGGCUAACUCCGUGCCAGCAGCCGCGGUAAUAC
This 406-nucleotide ribosomal RNA is filed under the name uncultured bacterium. RNAcentral describes it as "partial 16S ribosomal RNA". It matches the Rfam family "Bacterial small subunit ribosomal RNA", at positions 29 to 526 of the family's 1533-position model. The record is from RNAcentral.